UCACCCCAAAAACCCAGACCCAGUGCCAGGAACUGAAAUGUAAGGGCAGAUAGUAGGGGACAGACAUGGACAGAGAGGGAGAUGCAAAGAAAGAACAAGAAAGUCAAAGCUGAUAGUUCUCAGCAGGAACACGCUGUACAAUGUUAGAGCAGAGACUGCACCAAGAGAGGCGCAAACAUUAGAACCCAACUGGUGAGAAGUGAGAACAAGGAGAAUAAACACGUGACAGGCAUAAACCAGAAGAGCAGUCAGAAGACUUGUGACAGAAGGAAACCGCCUGUGGCUCAGCAACAGUAGGCUUCGGUGACACCGGUCUUUGUGCAGACCUAUGGGAUCCUGAAUGCAACUGGCUCUUGUUGUUCCCGUUCCUCUGCAAGGACUCAAAUGGGGAGACCCCACGCUGAGGCCAGCCUCAUUACAUGUCUUCAUUCCAUCACAAAG
Neopsephotus bourkii (Bourke's parrot) is the source of this 441-nucleotide long non-coding RNA. RefSeq lists it as uncharacterized. The record is from RefSeq and is a predicted model, not a curated record. NCBI's taxonomy places the organism in Eukaryota, Metazoa, Chordata, Aves, Psittaciformes, Psittacidae. The transcript is spliced from 3 exons.